UACAGAGGGGGCAAGCGUUAUUCGGAAUUAUUGGGCGUAAAGGGCGCGCAGGCGGCUACGCACGUCCGUUGUGAAAUCGCUCGGCUCAACUGGGCGGGGUCAGCGGAUACGGCGUAGCUGGAGCAAGCUAGGGGGCAAUGGAAUUCCCAGUGUAGCGGUGAAAUGCGUAGAUAUUGGGAGGAACACCAGUGGCGAAGGCGGCUCACUGGACCGGAACUGACGCUGAGGCGCGAAAGCGUGGGGAGCAAACAGG
This 253-nucleotide ribosomal RNA is filed under the name uncultured bacterium. RNAcentral describes it as "partial 16S ribosomal RNA". It matches the Rfam family "Bacterial small subunit ribosomal RNA", at positions 524 to 776 of the family's 1533-position model. The record is from RNAcentral.